This 253-nucleotide ribosomal RNA is filed under the name uncultured bacterium. Its description in RNAcentral is "partial 16S ribosomal RNA". It matches the Rfam family "Bacterial small subunit ribosomal RNA", at positions 524 to 776 of the family's 1533-position model. The record is from RNAcentral.
UACGUAGGGGGCAAGCGUUGUCCGGAUUUAUUGGGCGUAAAGAGCGUGUAGGCGGCCAGGUAGGUCUGCUGUGAAAACUCGAGGCUCAACCUCGAGAUGUCGGCGGAAACCAUCUGGCUAGAGUCCGGAAGAGGAGAAUGGAAUUCCCGGUGUAGCGGUGAAAUGCGCAGAUAUCGGGAAGAACGCCCGUGGCGAAGGCGGUUCUCUGGGACGGUACUGACGCUGAGACGCGAAAGCGUGGGGAGCGAACAGG